AUUGAACGUUGGCGGCAGGCUUUAGACAUGCAAGUCGAACGAGAAAGUGCCUUCGGGCAUGAGUACAGUGGCGAACGGGUGAGUAACGCGUAGGAAUCUACCUUCCGGUGGGGGACAACUCGGGGAAACUCGAGCUAAUACCGCAUAAUAUCCACGGAUCAAAGCGGGGGAUCUUCGGACCUCGCGCCGGGAGAGGAGCCUGCGUUAGAUUAGCUAGUUGGUGGGGUAAAGGCCUACCAAGGCGACGAUCUAUAGCUGGUCUGAGAGGACGAUCAGCCACACUGGAACCUGAGACACGGUCCAGACUCCUACGGGAGGCAGCAGUCGGGAAUUUUGGGCAAUGGGCGCAAGCCUGACCCAGCCAUGCCGCGUGUGUGAAGAAGGCC
RNAcentral lists this ribosomal RNA (386 nucleotides) under uncultured bacterium. RNAcentral describes it as "bacterial SSU rRNA". It matches the Rfam family "Bacterial small subunit ribosomal RNA", at positions 30 to 416 of the family's 1533-position model. The record is from RNAcentral.